UACGGGGGGGGCAAGCGUUGUUCGGAAUUACUGGGCGUAAAGGGCUCGUAGGCGGCCUUCUAAGUCAGACGUGAAAUCCCUCGGCUUAACCGGGGAACUGCGUCUGAUACUGGAGGGCUUGAAUUCGGGAGAGGGAUGUGGAAUUCCAGGUGUAGCGGUGAAAUGCGUAGAUAUCUGGAGGAACACCGGUGGCGAAGGCGGCAUCCUGGACCGAGAUUGACGCUGAGGCGCGAAAGCUAGGGGAGCAAACGGG
Molecule: ribosomal RNA, 253 nt
Filed under: uncultured bacterium
Lineage: Bacteria
Description: partial 16S ribosomal RNA
Rfam family: Bacterial small subunit ribosomal RNA
Source: RNAcentral